GUGAAGGAGGAGAGCGUGAUUGGAGAGGUAGGAGAGAGAACAAACCCAGGAAUGGAAACUACAACAAGAAUUCAAGAAAGCAAAAUCCCUUCUCCAAUAAACUCUCCUCACAGCAAUGGAAGCAACAAUGGGAUCCAAAUCCAUACCCCACCACUCACUCCAAUACCCAUCUCCAGAUCUGACGCUAACCCUUACCCAACAACCUUUGUCCAAGCAGA
This 218-nucleotide unclassified non-coding RNA is filed under the name Hevea brasiliensis (rubber tree). The record is from RNAcentral. Lineage: Eukaryota; Viridiplantae; Streptophyta; Magnoliopsida; Malpighiales; Euphorbiaceae.